GACGUGGCCAAGCUAUCAAAAAACUGCAGCCUGUGGAGAAGUAGCAAGUAGGAGGGAGGUCAGGAGUGGGUGGCUAAAACCACCACAAGAUUUGAGAACGCAGAUGUAUUUAACUGGAAGGAGAAAAGGAAAGCACAGAGGUACCUGUCUGUUGUCUGAUUUGUGGGUAAGAAAAGUCCAUCAUGUGGAAACUGGACAGAGGCCUUAAGCAGAGAAGGAUCUUAAGAAGAACUGCAACAGUGACCUGGCUGGGUCUUUAAGGGGGAAAUCACCCUAUCCAAUGGGUACAAUACAUUCCGGUGAUUAAAAAUACAUUCCAUUUCCUCUACGUGCAAAUUCAAUCUGUCGAACUGGAUGACAGCACCAUAAAGCCGCUGAAAUUCUGAAACCCAACCUGCUAAACAUCCUGAACAGACAUUCUCCAAAGAAAACUGAAGAAAAAUGAAUUGGAGCUGCAAGACGUUCUUGUUGAAUUCUCAAGUUUGAUUCAGUUACUUGAUCUCCUUGAAUUCCAGAAGAGACCACCUGAUCUGGGAUCUUCCAGAUUGUCACAGACAGGUUCCCAACCUUCUUGGCAACAAUCAGAUAAUGGGUAAGGGGAGCUUAAGGUUGGGGGAAGCUGAGAGGAGGAUGCUGAUGGGUUAAAUUUCAGGUUCCCA
Molecule: long non-coding RNA, 659 nt
Filed under: Homo sapiens (human)
Lineage: Eukaryota; Metazoa; Chordata; Mammalia; Primates; Hominidae
Description: HSALNT0282143
Source: RNAcentral